GAGAGCUUGUGCCUUUUCAUUCGACAUCAUCCGGACGUUCAGGUCUUUGACAGCAUCGUCAACACUGCCUGACCUGCUGAGUUCCUCCAGCAUUUUGUCUGCUGCUUUGCAUUUACAGCAUCUGCAGAUUUUCUUCUGUUUGUCAUUAUUAAUUGUUACAGAUUGGCAGAUAUGACAUUGUGGCCAUCUUUGAAACUUGUCUAAAGUAUGGCGGCCAUUGGGAGCUGAAUGUCCAAGGAUAUAUGGUAUAUCGGAAAGAUGGG
Mobula hypostoma (lesser devil ray) is the source of this 263-nucleotide long non-coding RNA. RefSeq lists it as uncharacterized. NCBI's taxonomy places the organism in Eukaryota, Metazoa, Chordata, Chondrichthyes, Myliobatiformes, Myliobatidae. The transcript has 3 exons. The record is from RefSeq and is a predicted model, not a curated record.